AGAAGACGAAAAACAAUGGUGGGGAACUUGCGCAAUAAUUGUGGAGAAAAUUGACCAGCCAUCCGAUCCAUUCAAUUUUAAAAGGAAGGAAAGCACGAGAGAAGAGGGGCAAUAAAAUAUGUUUCUGACUAACCCCUGGGAAAAGAGGAAAAAAGAGGGCUGCUCCUCUCAGCUCCCUCACGCAGGGUCUUUCCCCUUUUUUUCAACACUUCAACUCCUUUUCUUCCUCUCGGCAACUCCUUGAUCCUCCACCAUUUUCAGCAGCUCCAUCUUCCACCCGUGACAGCCACCACACGACAGCCCUCAAACCUCCACAAAACAGCCUCACAACAUACUUGUAACAACCCCGAAAUCAGCACAGAAACAGCCCACAAAACCACCUCCAAACAACCAUGAAAACUCCAACCACAACACCUAAAACAGCCCCCCCAAACCAGAAAAGCUUAAGCUAUAAUGUAUUUGGUACCGUGAUAGCUUUUGUGGUUGUGGUUUGAAAAAAAUCAUUUUAUAAAAAAUACUUUUGAUUAAGGUUGGUUUGAUAUUUAUAUAUGUUCG
This 555-nucleotide long non-coding RNA is filed under the name Populus trichocarpa (black cottonwood). RNAcentral describes it as "long non-coding RNA (PTRI_LNC004057)". The record is from RNAcentral. Lineage: Eukaryota; Viridiplantae; Streptophyta; Magnoliopsida; Malpighiales; Salicaceae.